GUACACUCCUACGGGAGGCAGCAGUGGGGAAUAUUGGACAAUGGGCGCAAGCCUGAUCCAGCCAUGCCGCGUGAGUGAUGAAGGCCCUAGGGUUGUAAAGCUCUUUCACCGGUGAAGAUAAUGACGGUAACCGGAGAAGAAGCCCCGGCUAACUUCGUGCCAGCAGCCGCGGUAAUACGAAGGGGGCUAGCGUUGUUCGGAUUUACUGGGCGUAAAGCGCACGUAGGCGGACUAUUAAGUCAGGGGUGAAAUCCCGGGGCUCAACCCCGGAACUGCCUUUGAUACUGGUAGUCUUGAGUUCGAGAGAGGUGAGUGGAAUUCCGAGUGUAGAGGUGAAAUUCGUAGAUAUUCGGAGGAACACCAGUGGCGAAGGCGGCUCACUGGCUCGAUACUGACGCUGAGGUGCGAAAGCGUGGGGAGCAAACAGGAUUAGAAACCCCAGUAGUCCC
RNAcentral lists this ribosomal RNA (449 nucleotides) under uncultured organism. Its description in RNAcentral is "partial 16S ribosomal RNA". It matches the Rfam family "Bacterial small subunit ribosomal RNA", at positions 331 to 797 of the family's 1533-position model. The record is from RNAcentral.